Molecule: transfer RNA, 69 nt
Filed under: Elateroidea sp. 10 KM-2017
Lineage: Eukaryota; Metazoa; Arthropoda; Insecta; Coleoptera
Description: tRNA-Gln
Source: RNAcentral
UGCAUUUUAGUAUAUGAAGUACGUGAAUUUUUGGAGUUCUCAGAGAUAGUUUGAUUCUUUUAUGUGCAA